RNAcentral lists this ribosomal RNA (501 nucleotides) under uncultured Acidobacteriota bacterium. RNAcentral describes it as "bacterial SSU rRNA". It matches the Rfam family "Bacterial small subunit ribosomal RNA", at positions 38 to 572 of the family's 1533-position model. The record is from RNAcentral. Lineage: Bacteria; Pseudomonadati; Acidobacteriota.
GGCGGCGUGCCUAACACAUGCAAGUCGAACGAGAAAGUGGAGCAAUCCAUGAGUACAGUGGCGACCGGGUGAGUAACACGUGACUACCUACCCUUGAGUGGGGGAUAACCUCGGGAAACCGAGGCUAAUACCGCAUAAUAUCGAAAGAUCAAAGGAGAAAUCCGCUUUUGGAGGGGGUCGCGGCUGAUUAGCUAGUUGGUAGGGUAAUGGCCUACCAAGGCGAAGAUCGGUAUCCGGCCUGAGAGGGCGCACGGACACACUGGAACUGAAACACGGUCCAGACUCCUACGGGAGGCAGCAGUGGGGAAUUUUGCGCAAUGGGGGAAACCCUGACGCAGCAACGCCGCGUGGAGGAUGAAGCCCCUUGGGGUGUAAACUCCUUUCGACCGGGAAAAUAAUGAUGGUACCGGUGGAAGAAGCACCGGCUAACUCUGUGCCAGCAGCCGCGGUAAUACAGAGGGUGCGAGCGUUGUUCGGAAUUAUUGGGCGUAAAGGGCGCGU